This 503-nucleotide ribosomal RNA is filed under the name uncultured bacterium. Its description in RNAcentral is "partial 16S ribosomal RNA". It matches the Rfam family "Bacterial small subunit ribosomal RNA", at positions 30 to 523 of the family's 1533-position model. The record is from RNAcentral.
AUUGAACGCUGGCGGCAGGCUUAACACAUGCAAGUCGAGCGGGGUGAUGGUGCUUGCACUAUCACUUAGCGGCGGACGGGUGAGUAAUGCUUAGGAAUCUGCCUAUUAGUGGGGGACAACAUCUCGAAAGGGAUGCUAAUACCGCAUACGUCCUACGGGAGAAAGCAGGGGAUCACUUGUGACCUUGCGCUAAUAGAUGAGCCUAAGUCGGAUUAGCUAGUUGGUGGGGUAAAGGCCUACCAAGGCGACGAUCUGUAGCGGGUCUGAGAGGGUGAUCCGCGACACUGGGACUGAGACACGGCCCAGACUCCUACGGGAGGCAGCAGUGGGGAAUAUUGGGCAAUGGGGGGAACCCUGAUCCAGCCAUGCCGCGUGUGUGAAGAAGGCCUUAUGGUUGUAAAGCACUUUAAGCGAGGAGGAGGCUCUUUUGGUUAAUACCCAAGAUGAGUGGACGUUACUCGCAGAAUAAGCACCGGCUAACUCUGUGCCAGCAGCCGCCGUAA